GUGGGCGUGGCGCAGUGGUAGCGCAGCGGCUUGUGGUGCCGUUGGUCGGGGGUUCGAAUCCCCUCGUUCACCCCA
RNAcentral lists this transfer RNA (75 nucleotides) under bacterium. RNAcentral's name for it is "tRNA-His". It matches the Rfam family "tRNA". Rfam says of the family: Transfer RNA (tRNA) molecules are approximately 80 nucleotides in length. Their secondary structure includes four short double-helical elements and three loops (D, anti-codon, and T loops). The record is from RNAcentral.